RNAcentral lists this transfer RNA (70 nucleotides) under Ciidae sp. GENSP01. Its description in RNAcentral is "tRNA-Lys". The record is from RNAcentral. Lineage: Eukaryota; Metazoa; Arthropoda; Insecta; Coleoptera; Ciidae.
CAUUAGAUGGCUGAAAGUAAGUAAUGGUCUCUUAAACCAAUUAAUAGUAAUUAACACAUACUUCUAAUGA